UCCGAUAGUCGGUGAGAUUGCUUGGGGAUGCAUCUGCUUCUUUCGAAAAGAAUUGUGUGAGGGGAAUUCAAGCCAAUAGGGAACAGGUUUCAAAAUUACUGCAUGAGUCGCUAAUGCUUGUCACAUCUUUGAACCCUAAAAUUGGUUAUGACAACGCUGCAGCAGUUGCCAAGAAAGCCCACAAGGAUGGAAGCACUCUGAAGGAAGCUGCUCUAAAUCUUGGAGUGCUCACUAGUGAAGAGUUUGGCCAACUUGUAGUGCCGGAAAAGAUGAUUGGUCCCUCAGACUAACCAGCUUGGUAAACUUUUAGGGUUUGCAAUGAUGUAACCAUUUUUGCACCCCUUCCCUCUAUCAGUUGGAGAGUAGGAAAUAAAAAUCCAAUGGUCAUUGUGUCUUUCUGAGAAAACGAUAUUCUUGAGGUUUUAUCUGUUCGGCUCUCAUCUUUUGGAUCCUUUUCAGUGACCUGGCUGUUGAUUGGGUUAAUA
This is a non-coding RNA of Camellia sinensis, 485 nucleotides long. The record is from RefSeq and is a predicted model, not a curated record. NCBI's taxonomy places the organism in Eukaryota, Viridiplantae, Streptophyta, Magnoliopsida, Ericales, Theaceae.